CAGACACAGACAACCAUUCGCACUCACAUUCAAACCUUUAGAGUAAUUUAGAGUUUCCAAUGAAACUCUUUAUGGGAGGAAGCCGGAAGACCCGGGGAGGACCCACGCCAGCGUGCUCCCUGUCUGAGAUUUCAUUUACAGAAACUAUUUCAGAAUCCACAGCACUGAUGGAGCCCUGUGAUGUGUCAGCGUGUCUGUAAACCACUCUCGGGGCUGCAAAAUUACUUUGCAAACUGAGCCUUACAGGGGCCUGCCUCACUGCACCUGAACAAUACAGUGGUUCAUUCAUGGAUCAGCUCCUGCCUUCUCUCACUGUGAUGAAAAUCAAGUCUUUGUAAGCCGCUGCAAAGAUGAGGCGAGUGGAACUAAAUAGGAUGUAGUUCUCAAAAGUCGUGUUUAUUUCAAAAUAAAAUUGUUUAAAUGCCUUCGAUCUGACUCAUCCUUGUGUGUCUUCACUGCAGCAGAGUUGAACAAAGGCACAGACAGAUGACAUUUUAUUAUAAGGUUUACAAAAUACUGCUGCUGCUGAAUGAUGUAGCAGGCUGGCUAAUGAUGGGUCUAUACCACGGUAGGUGGGUUCAUUUACAAGCAGAGAUGGUUCACAAACCAUUUCAAAAGCAACAACAAGAAUCAAAGGACUAUGCUCAUACAGUAGUUUAGAUUUUAGAAGCCGAAAUGUGAAUAAAAACAGAACGUGAUGACUUCCAUACUUUAAUCAGAAUAGCAAACAUGUUAAACGUCUGAUCUGAGAGAAUGAACCCUUUUCUGUAAAAUAACAGCUGAUUUUGAUGUUAGCAACUUGGGAAGGGGGAAGAAAAAGCAGGAAACUAAAAGGAGUUGGGAUGUGCAGAGGUUCAUCAGUCUGUAACUAUCUCAUCAUCUACAGUACACGAUGUCAAAUGAUUCAGCGGACCUGGAGACAUUUCUGUGUGUGAGGGACAAGGCUGAAAGUCAAUAUUGGAUGCAUGAUUCUGCAAAACAGGCAUGAUUCGGUCCUGGAAAUCACUGCAUGGGCUCAGAAGCACUUCUGGAAGUCACUGUCUGCAAACACAGUUCACCGUGCCGUCCAUGAAUGGAGGUUACAGCUCCAGCAUGCAAAGAAGAAGCCACAUAGAAACAAGCUCAUGUAAAAGGAACUGAGGAAAAGUGGAAAACUGUUCCGAGGUCAAGUGUGAAGUUCUUCUUGGAAAAUAUGGAAGAUGUAUCCGGACUGAAAAGGAGAGAAACCAUCCAGCUUGUUAUCAGCACUCAGUUCAAACGCCAGCAUGUUUGAUGGUACGGGGGUCUGUGAGUGUUUCUGGCAGUGACAGCUUGGACAUGUAGAAAGACCAUCAGUGCUGAAAGGUACAGACAGGUUUUAGAGCAACAUGCGCUCCCAUCUACUUUAUCUUUGAAGGAUGGUUUUGCAUAUUUCAGCAAGACAACGUUAAACUGAAAUUUGCAUCUAACACAACAGCGUGGUGCUGACCUGCCUGCUAACCCCAACCCAGAGAGCAGACCUGGGACUGCUGAGCAUCUUUAAUCCCACAUCAGGAGGAAACAGCAUUACUGUCCUUGAAGCCCAGCAGCUGGUCUCCUCAGCUCCCAGACGUUUGCAGACUGUUGUUCAAAGAAGAGGGGAUGCUACACAGCGGUAAACAGCUCUUCUUCUUCUUCUUUUUUAAAAUGUUGAUUUUCUCAAUUAAAACCUUUGACAUGGUUUGUGGGAUCUACUGGGGAUAAAAUCUGGGUUUGAGAGAUUUUCAUUGCACACUUUUCUUUAAAUUUACAUUCCUCACAAUUUCUUUGGCAUUGAGUUUGUGUACAACUGUAAUCCUGGGUCAGUCUGUCAGACUGAUUUAUUGCAGCAGAAUGCAGUUAAAGCGUGGUGUCUGUGCUCCAACAGCCUCUCCCCACAAAUACGACACACAUGGAAAUGAGCAAGUGAUGAGCAAACAUACCUACGGACAUGUCAGAGCGCAUUCUGCAGGUUGACAGCGACUAUUAGUCUCGCAGGCUUUCCUCCAUUUCUGUGAUACCAACGCUAUCAAUUAACAUUUUGCCAAGCAGCACAAAACUGAUGCCUUAAUAACUAAACACUCGUUAGGUCCUUUUAAAGUUUUUCCCUCCUAAAAUAUUUGAAUCCUUGUAUUAAAGUUACAAACAAACUAUGUUACAGACUAAUGUCUGCAACAGCAGCCAGGAAUAAUCUUAGCACUGAACAAACACACACAGCAUCCCGACAGAUGAAUGUGGAUGUUAGUUCUUGCUCCAGUUUAUGCACAGCCUCUCAGUUAAGUAACAGUCGAGGCGCUUCUGCAGUGCGAGCUUUGUUCUCAGAUUCACACAGCGAGACGCGUCUUUACGCUGAAGUGAAGCAAACGCCAUGAACACACUCGUUUGGCCGUGGCGUUACAGACACACAGACACACAGAGACGUGUGUGUGAAUAGGUUUAUUUGAUUUACAGACCUGUACAUUUUUCCAUCAAUCCACCCACAGGAGCAUCACAUUUCAGUUCUAAAAGAAUACCCUCUGACUUCUCGGACACUUCACGUGUACUGACCUCUAAAAAUAAAAAUAACUUCUGGUUUUUGUUUUUUCUCUUCUGCUCAACAUGAGUUUAUUUAUACAAGACUCUUGUAUGACAAGAAGCAUUUCCUCGAGACAUCACUUCAGUGAUUGUUAACAUACAUUUACAACAGACUAAAGGACGGACUGGUGCUAAAUCAAAUGAAUUUUGGCAAA
Oreochromis niloticus (Nile tilapia) is the source of this 2726-nucleotide long non-coding RNA. RefSeq lists it as uncharacterized. The transcript is spliced from 2 exons. The record is from RefSeq and is a predicted model, not a curated record. NCBI's taxonomy places the organism in Eukaryota, Metazoa, Chordata, Actinopteri, Cichliformes, Cichlidae.